AGUGAACGCUGGCGGUAGGCCUAACACAUGCAAGUCGAACGGCAGCACAGUAAGAGCUUGCUCUUACGGGUGGCGAGUGGCGGACGGGUGAGGAAUACAUCGGAAUCUACUUUUUCGUGGGGGUUAACGUAGGGAAACUUACUCUAAUACCGCAUACGACCUACGGGUGAAAGCAGUGGAUCUUCUCACCUUGCGCGAUUGGAUGCGCCGAUGCGGGAUUAGUUAGUUGGCGGGGUGAAGACCCACCUAGGCGACGAUACGUAGCCGGUCAGAGAGGAUGGUCGGCGGCAUUGGAGGUGGACCACCGACAAGGCGACUACGAGAGGCAGCAGAGGGCUAUAGUAGACAGUGGGGGCGAGCCUGAUCCAGCCGUACCGCGUGGGUGGAGAAGACCUUCGGGUUGUAAAGACCUUUUGUUGGGAAAGAAAAGCUGCAGGUUAAUACCAAGCUGUUCUGACGGUACCGAAUGAAUAAGCACCGGCUAACUUCGUG
This 492-nucleotide ribosomal RNA is filed under the name uncultured bacterium. Its description in RNAcentral is "partial 16S ribosomal RNA". It matches the Rfam family "Bacterial small subunit ribosomal RNA", at positions 29 to 507 of the family's 1533-position model. The record is from RNAcentral.